CUGGAGGUAUCAGAAGUGCGAAUGCUGACAUAAGUAACGAUAAAGCGGGUGAAAAGCCCGCUCGCCGGAAGACCAAGGGUUCCUGUCCAACGUUAAUCGGGGCAGGGUGAGUCGACCCCUAAGGCGAGGCCGAAAGGCGUAGUCGAUGGGAAACGGGUUAAUAUUCCCGUACUUGGUGUUACUGCGAAGGGGGGACGGAGAAGGCUAUGUUGGCCGGGCGACGGUUGUCCCGGUUUAAGCGUGUAGGUGUGUGUUCCAGGUAAAUCCGGUUCACUUUAACACUGAGGCGUGAUGACGAGGCACUACGGUGCUGAAGCAACAAAUGCCCUGCUUCCAGGAAAAGCCUCUAAGCAUCAGGUAACAUCAAAUCGUACCCCAAACCGACACAGGUGGUCAGGUAGAGAAUACCAAGGCGCUUGAGAGAACUCGGGUGAAGGAACUAGGCAAAAUGGUGCCGUAACUUCGGGAGAAGGCACGCUGACACGUAGGUGAAGUGAUUUACUCAUGGAGCUGAAGUCAGUCGAAGAUACCAGCUGGCUGCAACUGUUUAUUAAAAACACAGCACUGUGCAAACACGAAAGUGGACGUAUACGGUGUGACGCCUGCCCGGUGCCGGAAGGUUAAUUGAUGGGGUCAGCGCAAGCGAAGCUCCUGAUCGAAGCCCCGGUAAACGGCGGCCGUAACUAUAACGGUCCUAAGGUAGCGAAAUUCCUUGUCGGGUAAGUUCCGACCUGCACGAAUGGCGUAAUGAUGGCCAGGCUGUCUCCACCCGAGACUCAGUGAAAUUGAACUCGCUGUGAAGAUGCAGUGUACCCGCGGCAAGACGGAAAGACCCCGUGAACCUUUACUAUAGCUUGACACUGAACAUUGAGCCUUGAUGUGUAGGAUAGGUGGGAGGCUUUGAAGUGUGGACGCCAGUCUGCAUGGAGCCGGCCUUGAAAUACCACCCUUUAAUGUUUGAUGUUCUAACGUGGACCCGUGAUCCGGGUUGCGGACAGUGUCUGGUGGGUAGUUUGACUGGGGCGGUCUCCUCCUAAAGAGUAACGGAGGAGCACGAAGGUUGGCUAAUCCUGGUCGGACAUCAGGAGGUUAGUGCAAUGGCAUAAGCCAGCUUGACUGCGAGCGUGACGGCGCGAGCAGGUGCGAAAGCAGGUCAUAGUGAUCCGGUGGUUCUGAAUGGAAGGGCCAUCGCUCAACGGAUAAAAGGUACUCCGGGGAUAACAGGCUGAUACCGCCCAAGAGUUCAUAUCGACGGCGGUGUUUGGCACCUCGAUGUCGGCUCAUCACAUCCUGGGGCUGAAGUAGGUCCCAAGGGUAUGGCUGUUCGCCAUUUAAAGUGGUACGCGAGCUGGGUUUAGAACGUCGUGAGACAGUUCGGUCCCUAUCUGCCGUGGGCGCUGGAGAACUGAGGGGGGCUGCUCCUAGUACGAGAGGACCGGAGUGGACGCAUCACUGGUGUUCGGGUUGUCAUGCCAAUGGCACUGCCCGGUAGCUAAAUGCGGAAGAGAUAAGUGCUGAAAGCAUCUAAGCACGAAACUUGCCCCGAGAUGAGUUCUCCCUGAGACUUUAGGUCUCCUGAAGGAACGUUGAAGACGACGACGUUGAUAGGCCGGGUGUGUAAGCGCAGCGAUGCGUUGAGCUAACCGGUACUAAUGAACCGUGAGGCUUAACCUUACAACGCCGAAG
This 1686-nucleotide ribosomal RNA is filed under the name Salmonella enterica. RNAcentral's name for it is "partial 23S ribosomal RNA". It matches the Rfam family "Bacterial large subunit ribosomal RNA", at positions 1273 to 2925 of the family's 2925-position model. RNAcentral also lists the same sequence under 2 other names. The record is from RNAcentral. Lineage: Bacteria; Pseudomonadati; Pseudomonadota; Gammaproteobacteria; Enterobacterales; Enterobacteriaceae.